GACACUUUGGCCGAGUGGUUAAGGCGCAGGCCUGCUAAGUCUACAACAGGGUUCGAAUCCCAGAGGUGUCG
This 71-nucleotide transfer RNA is filed under the name Aspergillus udagawae. RNAcentral's name for it is "tRNA-Ser". It matches the Rfam family "tRNA". From Rfam's summary of the family: Transfer RNA (tRNA) molecules are approximately 80 nucleotides in length. Their secondary structure includes four short double-helical elements and three loops (D, anti-codon, and T loops). Lineage: Eukaryota; Fungi; Ascomycota; Eurotiomycetes; Eurotiales; Aspergillaceae. The record is from RNAcentral.